Molecule: long non-coding RNA, 1234 nt
Filed under: Papio anubis (olive baboon)
Lineage: Eukaryota; Metazoa; Chordata; Mammalia; Primates; Cercopithecidae
Description: lncRNA (ENSPANG00000048340.1)
Source: RNAcentral
GAAGAAAUUUUCCAGUCUGACGUCUGCAAGGCUGGAGACCCGGGGCAGCUACUCCAAAUCAGGAGGCCUGAAAAUCAGGUGACUGACGGUUUCAGCCCAGAUCUGAGUUCAAAGACCCAAGAACCAGGAGUACAAGUGUCUGAGGGCAGGAUAAGAUAAUUGUCUCAGUUCAGAGAGAGCAAAUUCCCCUUUCCUCUGCCUUUUUGUUAUAUUUGCAUUCUCAACAGAUUGGACAUAGAUGCCAUCUACAUUGGUGAGGGUUGGUCUUCCUCACCUCAGUCCAUGGAUUUAAAUCCUCAUCUCUUCUCAAGCCCUGACAGAUACACCCAGAAAUAACAUUUUACCAGCUAUCUUGAGUAUUCGUUAGCCCAGUCAAGUUGACAGAAUUAACUGACAUAGAGUUCAUUAAAAAUAAUUCAAAAUAUUUGUCUAUAAAAGGGCAGAUCAGCUUUUUAGAAGCAUUGAAGUAUUUAUAAAAUUCGAACUGUUUUGCACCCACCGAAUGCAAGCAUUUUCCAUUUUUUUCCCAGAAUAUUUGGCAUAAUGUAGACAACUUCUGAGCACUGGGGAACAAGCCUUCUCCUAUCAUUUGCCCUGAGGCAUAUAUCUUUUGCCCUGGCAAGUUUCAUAACAUUUUAAUCCUUUCCCUUCCUCAAUUGUGUGAUGGUGACCACAAUGCAACGGGAAAGUCCUCGUAAGAAAGACCCUUCAAUAUCUGGCUUGAUGUCACCAAGAUGUGCAAGAAAACAAACAAUACAAUGUCAAGUUGUCAUUCUGGAAAGGAGUGAGAGCUGUGGUGGGCAGCUGGAGAGCCGGCAGGUCAACCUCUUGUUGACACCAUCCUGCCAAGCCUUUUCUGGAGACAAAUGGAGUUUCCCAGCAUGUGUGGCUCCUACAGGUCCCUGGAGGCCAGCUGGGCGGAAAAUGUGGGAGAAGCCAUGGAGAACCCACUGCUGGGCUGACUGGCUGCCAACAUUCACUGCAGAACCAACAUGAUGCUUUCUGCCUAAUUAGCAGUGAUAUAAAGAGUGACUGAGAGAAAUGUGGGGGUCUCAGUGUCUAAGAAGGGGUCUCCCACUUCAAUUGAAUGGACCCCACUUUCCUCCUUAAAUCUAUGUGCUUCUAUGUCCACUCCGGGUGUUCACUUUGCCUCUAAACAAUUAACUCCAAAAAACUAAGUCAUAAAAUCCAAUGCUUCAUUUUUAAAAUUGUGAGCAUAUUAUGAUGAGUAUUU